UCUGACCUCGAAUCAGGUGGGACUACCCGCUGAACUUAAGC
Molecule: ribosomal RNA, 41 nt
Filed under: Hydnum umbilicatum
Lineage: Eukaryota; Fungi; Basidiomycota; Agaricomycetes; Cantharellales; Hydnaceae
Also listed under: 1 other name
Description: 28S ribosomal RNA
Source: RNAcentral